This 468-nucleotide ribosomal RNA is filed under the name uncultured bacterium. RNAcentral's name for it is "partial 16S ribosomal RNA". It matches the Rfam family "Bacterial small subunit ribosomal RNA", at positions 28 to 507 of the family's 1533-position model. The record is from RNAcentral.
GACGAACGCUGGUGGCGUGCUUAACACAUGCAAGUCGAACGGAAAGGCCCUGCUUUUGUGGGGUGCUCGAGUGGCGAACGGGUGAGUAACACGUGAGUAACCUGCCCUUGACUUUGGGAUAACUUCAGGAAACUGGGGCUAAUACCGGAUAGGAGCUCCUGCUGCAUGGUGGGGGUUGGAAAGUUUCGGCGGUUGGGGAUGGACUCGCGGCUUAUCAGCUUGCUGGUGGGGUAGUGGCUUACCAAGGCUUUGACGGGUAGCCGGCCUGAGAGGGUGACCGGCCACAUUGGGACUGAGAUACGGCCCAGACUCCUACGGGAGGCAGCAGUGGGGAAUAUUGCACAAUGGGCGGAAGCCUGAUGCAGCAACGCCGCGUGCGGGAUGACGGCCUUCGGGUUGUAAACCGCUUUCGCCUGUGACGAAGCGUGAGUGACGGUAAUGGGUAAAGAAGCACCGGCUAACUACGUG